This 307-nucleotide ribosomal RNA is filed under the name uncultured Pseudomonas sp. Its description in RNAcentral is "bacterial SSU rRNA". It matches the Rfam family "Bacterial small subunit ribosomal RNA", at positions 1075 to 1382 of the family's 1533-position model. The record is from RNAcentral. Lineage: Bacteria; Pseudomonadati; Pseudomonadota; Gammaproteobacteria; Pseudomonadales; Pseudomonadaceae.
UUGGGUUAAGUCCGUAACGAGCGCAACCCUGUCCUUAGUUACCAGCACGUUAUGGUGGGCACUCUAAGGAGACUGCCGGUGACAAACCGGAGGAAGGUGGGGAGUGACGUCAAGUCAUCAUGGCCCUUACGGCCUGGGCUACACACGUGCUACAAUGGUCGGUACAAAGGGUUGCCAAGCCGCGAGGUGGAGCUAAUCCCAUAAAACCGAUCGUAGUCCGGAUCGCAGUCUGCAACUCGACUGCGUGAAGCCGGAAUCGCUAGUAAUCGUGAAUCAGAAUGUCACGGUGAAUACGUUCCCGGGCCUU